AGCACGUUAUGGUGGGCGACUCUAAGGAGGACUGCCGGUCGACAGGCCGGAGGAAGGUGGGGAGUGACGUCAAGUCAUCAUGGCCCUUACGGCCUGGGCUACACACGUGCUACAAUGGUCGGUACAAAGGGUUGCCAAGCCGCGAGGUGGAGCUAAUCCCAUAAAACCGAUCGUAGUCCGGAUCGCAGUCUGCAACUCGACUGCGUGAAGUCGGAAUCGCUAGUAAUCGUGAAUCAGAAUGUCACGGUGAAUACGUUCCCGGGCCUU
Molecule: ribosomal RNA, 267 nt
Filed under: uncultured Pseudomonas sp.
Lineage: Bacteria; Pseudomonadati; Pseudomonadota; Gammaproteobacteria; Pseudomonadales; Pseudomonadaceae
Description: partial 16S ribosomal RNA
Rfam family: Bacterial small subunit ribosomal RNA
Source: RNAcentral